This 67-nucleotide transfer RNA is filed under the name Marmota monax (woodchuck). RNAcentral describes it as "tRNA.Ala". Lineage: Eukaryota; Metazoa; Chordata; Mammalia; Rodentia; Sciuridae. The record is from RNAcentral.
GGUUAUGGCUCAGCGGUACAGUGCUUGCCUGGCACAUGCAAGGUCCUGGGUUCGAUCCUCAGCACCA